CAACGCGUUGGGAGCUCUCCCAUAUGGUCGACCUGCAGGCGGCCGCGAAUUCACUAGUGAUUAGAGUUUGAUCAUGGCUCAGAACGAACGCUUUCGGUAUGCUUAACACAUGCAAGUCGAACGGAUUUAUUUAGAGCUUGCUUUAAAUAAAUUAGUGGCAGACGGGUGAGUAACACGUGGGAAUCUGCCCAUCAGUACGGAAUAACAUUUAGAAAUAAUUGCUAAUACCGUAUAUUCUCUUUGGAGGAAAGAUUUAUCGCUGAUGGAUGAGCCCGCGCCAGAUUAGGUAGUUGGUAGGGUAAUGGCCUACCAAGCCAAUGAUCUGUAGCUGGUUUGAGAGAAUGAUCAGCCACACUGGGACUGAGACACGGCCCAGACUCCUACGGGAGGCAGCAGUGGGGAAUAUUGGACAAUGGGCGAAAGCCUGAUCCAGCAAUACCGAGUGGGUGAUGAAGGCCUUAGGGUUGUAAAGCCCUUUUCAGCAGGGAAGAUAAUGACGGUACCUGACCAAGAAAGCCCCGGCUAACUCCGUGCCAGCAGCCGCGGUAAUACGAAUCGAAUUCCCGCGGCCGCCAUGGCG
This 580-nucleotide ribosomal RNA is filed under the name uncultured Alphaproteobacteria bacterium. RNAcentral describes it as "bacterial SSU rRNA". It matches the Rfam family "Bacterial small subunit ribosomal RNA", at positions 1 to 547 of the family's 1533-position model. Lineage: Bacteria; Pseudomonadati; Pseudomonadota; Alphaproteobacteria. The record is from RNAcentral.